UCCUCAAUAUUUGCAUAAUUUAAUAUUUUUAAUUUAUUUUUAUUAGCUGUUGUUUUUUAUAGGCCUCACAAAUCUUUUGCUUUAGGCUUCUAUGCUUGAUGGGCCGGCCUUGUCCGAAGGCAAAUGUUGGAAUAUGUAUUUUUUAAGCUCUCAAAUUAUAAUAAUACAAUAUGACAUGGUCUACGGUACGGUUAACUUGAAGUCAAGAAUCCUCUGUUUACCGCAAAAUGAUGUUAACUCAUAAUUAGAGGCAGAAUCAUGCUCAAAUUUGGAUUCGCCUUACAGAGUUACCGCAAAAGUACUAGAGACAUCUUACUAUUCGAAAUCGCAAGUGCAAUUGGCACCCCUCUUGCUUUAGAUGAUGCUACAAUGAAAGUAAAUCCACCACAACAAAAGAUCACUACAAAGCCUGCAAUCAAUGGUGAUAAUUGUGUGAAAAUCAAUGGCGCACAACAGAGCUUGUCUCAACAUCUAGAGGGGUUUAUCGAGCAACUGGGAAGACGAUAAUGGAACCACAAGCGAUAAAGGCUAUCCCGAUCCAACCAGAAGAGUCCCAACCUAUAUAGAAAACGGUAACAGUCAAUGAUUCCAAUGGCCAGGUUUACAUAACCGAUGUAGAUCAGCCUCAGUAACAGAUUGAAGACAUUGUUAUAAAUCUAUGAUCCGAGAAUUUUUUUUUUUUAAUAUAUUUCAUUGGAUGAUUUUUACUUGAAAUAUAUAUCUUAGUUUUUUUUUGAAGAAGCAGAGAGAAUCGAACCUCAGACCUCAAGAGGAGCACACUCUCAGGUCUCAAGCCAAUACCAAUGCACCAACCCAAGUGGGUUAAUAUAUAUCUUAGUUUAUUUUGCUUGCAUAAUCUCUACAAACAAAAUGCAUGUCUUCCCAUAUUCUCUUAUAUUUUACUUCUUUUGUUUCUAAUCAUAUAUAUAGUGUUUUACUUUUGUAUCUUCUUAGUUCUUGUGGAUCAAUAAACUUUUUAUUAAAACGAUAAAUCUGGACACUUGCGAGGCUAUCAUAAGUGUUGAGCCAUGCAUGCAAACUCUCCACUGUGAAAUGACUUUUUGAAAGAGUAUUUUUGAAAAAAUAUUUUAAAUUUAAAUAUUUACAUUUUUUGUAUUAUUCGUACAAAUAACUUUAUCAUGGUUGAACAAUUUACUUUAAAAAAAUCCCACUUCCUAUCAUUAGAGGUUGCAAACUUAAUUAAAAAAAUAUUGAGUUCUAAUGGUUAUGAAGUUUUUUACGUUACCCCUUUGCAAAGUGUGAAGAAGGGACAAACGCAACACAUUGAUCUAUUAAGUAUGCUAAAGGGACAAAUACAAUAUAUCUUCCUAUAAUUAGAAUGAGCUUAAUACACUAUAAAACCAUCAAGUCGUAUUCUAGUUUUACAUGCAAAUAGAAACAAAUAUGGCUAAAACUCUCGUGUUUGUUUAUGCUAUGAUUUUAUUUUUUUCCAUAUUUCUUGUUGCAAAGGAGGUUCAUGCACAAAUUAAAUGUGAAACUGAUGAUGAUUGUCCAGAAGUAAGUGUAUAUGAUCCUCCUCUACUGCCUAACUUGCUUCCUUCAGUUUAUAAGUGUGUUGACAACUUAUGUGUACCGGUUGCUGUGAAGACUGAAGUGAAUUCUGGCGCCUAAAAAAAUUUCAAUGCAAUGUACCUUAUGCUAGAUUGUUCCUUAAGUUACCAUUUAAUCUGUGUUAGCAUCCAAUAAAUGUAUCUUUUUCUUUC
Molecule: long non-coding RNA, 1724 nt
Organism: Trifolium pratense (red clover)
Lineage: Eukaryota; Viridiplantae; Streptophyta; Magnoliopsida; Fabales; Fabaceae
Exons: 2
Source: RefSeq, a predicted model, not a curated record